UACGGAGGGUGCGAGCGUUAAUCGGAAUUACUGGGCGUAAAGCGCGCGUAGGCGGUUUGUUAAGUCGGAUGUGAAAGCCCCGGGCUCAACCUGGGAACUGCGCCCGAUACUGGCCGACUUGAGUGCGAGAGAGGGAGGUAGAAUUCCAUGUGUAGCGGUGAAAUGCGUAGAUAUAUGGAGGAAUACCGGUGGCGAAGGCGGCCUCCUGGCUCGACACUGACGCUGAGGUGCGAAAGCGUGGGUAGCAAACAGG
This 253-nucleotide ribosomal RNA is filed under the name uncultured bacterium. RNAcentral describes it as "partial 16S ribosomal RNA". It matches the Rfam family "Bacterial small subunit ribosomal RNA", at positions 524 to 776 of the family's 1533-position model. The record is from RNAcentral.